AACCCUAGUGAUUAAAGGGGUGGCAGGUGGUGUGGGCAGGUUGCCUUCACCUGCUGUAACUCUUUCUGUUUCCUGUGGGACACUUGCCAACUGUGGCUUUCAACACCCAGGAAACCUCUCCCUGGCUGGCAAGAAUGCGGGGAGUUUUCAUGGUAAUUGCAUUUCCUCCCCAAAAGGCCCUGCCCUUCGGAGCCUGGCCCCUGUGUUGCUACCCAGGUAUUUCACAAACACCCACUGCCUGCCGGUGCUGGGUCAUUCUCACCCUGCCCCUGCACACACACCUCUUGGCCCUGCCCACCGGUGUCCUCUUAGCUGUGACAGCCACACUAACUUCAUUUCCCACAUUUACAACCACAAGUUUCUUAGAAAAAAUUUCCCUGACUGCCAAGAUUCCACAGGUAACAUGAUAGUCUGAUUCCACAGGUAACAUUCUCACACUGUGCUAGCACCAGAGAUCUGCACCUGGAGGAAAGAGAAAUCUUGACAUGGGUCUUAGCCAAGUAGAAAGCAGAUAACAUAUCUUCCAGAGGCAGUGGGCAGAGGCUGAGGGCUGAGGCCGAGAUUCAACGAUGAGACAAGGACAUAUUACCUCUACAGCAGCCACAGGCCUCUCCUCAGAGCUACCAAGAAAUUUUAAAAUCAAACCUGCACUGAGCUGAAGAGAAUAAAGGUAAUUUCCUGUUGGCUGCGAAGGCAUACUGACAUCUACAGCACUUCCCAGCCGAGGUUUUCAACCUCCAAUCACCAUUUGCUUUUCAGUUUUGAAAAGGUUAGCAUUUCUGUUUCUUUAGUUAAUGACUAGACCUCUUGAGCCCCUUGUCUAGUGUCUUCAAGCACCUCGAGAACCUGCCUGCCCAAUGGCCCACAAGUCACAGAUUUUUCAAUAAGGGGGAUAACAAGCCCAUUUUCUGAACUAUGUCUCUCCAAAAUUGCCAUGUUAAAAUCCAGACUGGCAGUAUCUCAAAAUGUGACCUUGUUUGGAGACAGGGCCUUUACAGAAGUAAUCAAGUGAAAAUGACCAGCAUGACCAGUGUCCCUCUGCGCACAGAGGGAAGACCAGGUGCAGACAUGGAGAGGAUGGCCAUCCACAGCCCUAUUCUUGCAACUUUUAUCUAAGUUUGAAAUAUUUUCAAAAUACAGGUAAAAUUUUAAAUAAAAAUAAAGAUAGAAUGAAAGAGAGUCAAGCUCCUGGGAAGCCCACUACAGAUCCUGGGGGAGCAGAGGCCUGGAAGGACCUACAGGAUCUGGGCAAGAGGGCUGGGAUUUAAAUCCAGUUUUUAAAUGACUUUAUUUUACCGUGAUUUUCCCUCCAAAUGUCUAAUGUCCUUGUAAUAUUAAAGGAUCCUGGGAUUUGAAUCUAGAAAGAAUCAUGGAUGCAGUUCCUGUCCAACAAGUGGUUGAACAAAGCCUUGCAUUGCUUCUGGUGACCCUCAUGCUUGGCUUUUACAGUCCAGCCGGUGGAGGGGCCCCUGUGGUUUGGGGAUGUGGUCUCCUCUUUCCAUCAGCCACAAAGGCUCGCUUGAUUUAGCGGGACGGUUCCAGAUCAGGCUUCCCACCGACCCAUCGUCACCUCUGAUGAUCUGCUCCAAUGGCAUCUGUGACUCUGGUAAAACCCUGCUCCCUGGAGAAAGAAAACAAAGCAAUUUCAGCAAAUGGUAAAGGAAAGGCCUGGCUCUUACUGGAAGCCCACGCUCAACCAGGCUCUAUCUCGUCCGUAACUGCACCUGCCUCGCUCUCCCAAACGCAUGCUCGUGCCCUGUACAGUGUCUUCACCCUGGAAUCUACCCAGGUCUUCAGGCCAGGGAGGGAAUCAAUUUUAAGAACCGACAGCUCCUGACAUCAAGCCAGUGUUACUGAAUGCCACCAGAACUCCUCGGGCCUAUGAACACCAUUGCCUUGGAAGUUAAUCUUGAAUUCCUUGGCACUGUUUGACCUUUGUCAAAAGAGCAACAGGGUAAGUUUCCCCUGCGUUUGGGGUGUACCCCUCAAAUGCAUUUUCAAUGAAGAAUAAAGACUGAUGAAUAGCAUCCCCUUGAUUUGAGUCAUUCUGAGUUGAUACCACAUUAACUUUGCCUGGUUCAAGCCACAGGUGGCCCCACUCACUUCAAAAGGGCCUCCAGCUCCCGCUUGACUCUGCCCACCAGGGGCGGCCCCCGGUAGGUGAGGGCUGUGUACAGCUGCACCAGGGAGGCCCCCGCCCGGAUCUUCUCCAGCGCGUCCUGCCCGCUGCUGACACCGCCAACCCCGAUGAUGGGAACUCUACCUGCAGAGAAGCACACAGCACACUGUGAGGAAGGCUGGGUGACAGGAGAGCCAGGAGCUGUUUGGCUGCAGCCCCGGCCCGCUGCUGAGUGCAGCAGUUCAGGAACCCCGAUACCAUCACAGACUCGGCGCCUGAGCCACACGUAGAUCUGAAGACAGGGACACCAGAUUCUUGCCUUGGGAAACACCGCUCUCAAUUAUGCAAAAGACCCCAUCAAGGCAGAGCUGAUUCCACUCUCUUGAACCAAGAGAUCCCCAAGAGUGAGUCCCUAAUGUCAUUGGCAUUGGCUAAUAUAUCAAGGUUUAUUUAGACUUUUGUUCCUAAAAGAGACAGCAAAUACUGUCACAAGCACGGUUUAAUGAAAAGUCAUUCUAUUCAAUGUGCUAGAUGCUAGGGACAGGGUGGUAAAUGAGAGAUGUGGUCCCUGCUCUCACGGACCUUGUGGGUUAACAGCAGGGAUACAUAACUGAGCAGCUGACUAAUACUGAGCACAAUCAGUGUUAUACCGGGAAUCAGAGGGAAGCAAGGGGUCCUAACUGGUCCAGGUCUUAAGGACAACUGCUCGAUAGUGGAUAGCAACGUUGAAGCUUUGCCCUAGAGGAUGAGCAGGUAGGACAGGCUGGUGGAGCGGGAUGUAAUUGCCCACCUUGGUCAGCAGGCGGCGCAGCUCGGCCUUUCCCUGAAGGCUCCUCAGCCCAGCUGUGUUGGGACUGGACACAUUCACUACCAGGUAGUCAGCCAAGGGGCCCAGGACUCGAACCCCCUCUGCGUAGUCCGAGGCAGCGUCCACCGAGGUCUUAUUCUUCCCCAGGUUUAUUCCCAGUGGCAGCCCAUCUGUAAAUAUCACUGGUCAGGAUUUUGUCCCCACUCACCGUUUCCCGUGCAACAUUCUGAAGCCAUCCUUGACCGAAGAGCCCACGAACAGCCUCACAGGCUCUCCAACUCCAAAUGUGACCUUUCCCGCGCCAGCUGACAAACGCUGACUUACGCACGGCGCUGUUGCCUGCGGGCCAAGAACCGAGCCCUCCACCUUCAUCUGCGCAGCUGGGUUUGGGCAGCUCCUAGGAUGUUUUACCGCUUUGUGCCCUUUUUCUUUUUUAAGAUUUAAUGGAAAAUGGAGAAAUUAGGAGCGCAAAUACUAGUGUUUAAAAAGGUAGGGCUCGUAAAUGAAAUACGACUGAGAAGAGACAAAAGUCAGUAGCAUGCCACAGGGGCAGCUGUUUACCCUCAAGGGCUGCUUGUUAGACUUGGGUCACGUGACUGGGUGUGCAGUCAUGAAGAAAAAGCAAAAUUAAAGGAUAUGUAUAAAAUACUGGAAAAUAUUUUCGAUUCUCAUGCCUAAAAUGUAGAGGCAUAACGGUUUUAUAAUUUCCAUUCUCUGAGAAGGGACUCCCCCUUGUAACUAGGGUGACCACACAUCCCAGUGCUCCCAGGACAGCCCUGAAUACUCCUGUAGCCUGGGCAUAAUUAUUCAUGCCUGCAUCCCUUCCACUCUCAAAAGUGUUGUCUCAGUUUGCACAGUAAGUAAUAUGGUCACCUUACUUUAAAAUCCAGGGAAUUAUCACCUGACUUGUGUUUUCGACUUUCAGUGUGUUUCUGAAAUGUAUUUUUCUAUGUGUGAAAGCAAGGGCUUGUCUGUACUUGACUUCUCCUAAGAUACUACCUUAUCUGCAAAGGCUAAAGUAUAUACAUGGUACCACCUGCUUUUUCCAGCUAACUGGGACGUCCAGUUAGCUCACAAAAUGUAUGUCAGGUCAGGGAGGAUCAAAGAACAACAUCCAGUACUGCUAACUACCUUCUCACACCUUAAAUGCAGUCACCUGUUUUAUCAUCAACUUGAAAGUAAAUGAAAUUCGUGUCACUCACUUCAUGAGUGGAAGGGAGGGGAGGGGUUUAGCAUCCAGUUAGACAAAUUAUAUAACAAGGUCUCCAAGCCUCCCAAAUCAAGUGAAGAUGGUUUGGAAACUGUAAUUCUUUUCCACACAGGUAAACCAGCUUAAUAGAGAAUAUCACUUUCAUGUAGCCAGUGGAUCUUUCAUUAGUAGCCAUUUGCCCCAAAUGACAAGAUUUUGGAGUUAGACAAAAAUUGCUGAAUUACUCUACCCGCAAAGGGCACCACAGCUCUUAACAACUCAUGUUGCUUGGUAUGAUGCUAACAAUAAGCUGUCUUCAAGGCUUCCAGCUGCCGGUGAACACUAUGUGCAGAGCUCUGCUAUGGGAUUUUGUCUCCAACAAAUGUCAGCACCACAGUGGGGGGCGAGGAACGGGCAAGGGAGAACGGGAGAAAAGUGGUAUAAGGGGCACUGUGAACAGUUAAAAGAAGGAAAGGGAGACAAGAAGGCAGGAGAGUAUCACAAACCAUGAAAGUCCUAUCAUGACCUUCAAAGCCCACAAGUGGCAAGGUCUAUCUACAGUAUAGCAGGGUCUGGUUCUGCCAAAGCCAGGGAAUUCCAAACAAGGUCAUUUCCUACUCCCCAAAUCAGAGAUUGCUAAUUGCCUCGGCCCUUUCAAUCUCGCGUUCAGAAAUGAAUCCAGUACCGCAGGUUUUUCUCAUCUCACCACCAGGACAUCUAAUGAGGCUAAACUCCUGGAAGGAGUUCCAGAAAGGCCCACCAAGGAAGAUGGCUGCAACCCCAUGCAACCCUAGAGGGCACCUGGGAAGGUACAGUGAGGAUGGCAUGGUGCCAAGACCACUAUGUUCACCCCAAGGGACAGCAAGGCAGGGAGCCCCAGGGAAUGAGUAUCAGCACCUCCAAGGCAGCCUUCAGAAAUGCAUGGUGUGGGCUUCCCUGGUGGCGCAGUGGUUAAGAAUCUGUCUGCUAAUGCAGGGGACACCGGUUCGAGCCCUGGUCCAGGAAGAUCCCACAUGCCGCAGAGCAACUAAGCCCCUGCGCCACGACUACUGAGCCCGCGUGCUGUACCUACUGAAGCCCACGUGCUAGAGCCGGUGCUCCGCAACAAGAGAAGCCACUUUAAUGAGAAACCCAUGCAAUGCAACAAAGAGUAGCCCCUGCUCGCUGCAACUAGAGAAAGCCCUAGUGCAGCAACGAAGACCCAAUGCAGACAAAAAUAAAUUAAUGAAUUAAAAAAAAUGCAUGGUGUUUCCAAAUAAGUCAUGAAGGAUAUUUUCCCCAAUGCCAGGAGUAGUUAUCUCUGAGUAGGGAAGAGUGUGAGUAAUUUUAAUGUUCUUCUUUAUGCUUCCCUGCAUUUACUAACACUUCUAUAAUUAGCAUUCAUUAUUUAUAACGGACAAAAGGACAACAGAGCAGGAUGUACAAAGAUGGCGCCCAAGCCCUGCUCGCAUCAACUGCCUAUGUGAUCACAGAGCAGCCACUCUGCACUGCUUACUUCCAAGCUGUCCCAGUUUGACACAGGUUACAUAACCAGGCAGGAACUAAGUGGAUCUUUGCUCAGUUGCGAAAUUCAGUUAAGAGCUUGGAGGGUGUGAUGGAGCCAGGAAAAUUCCUCUAGCAGAGGAGCCCUGAGUUCCAUACUGUUUUUUCCUAUUGUUCAAUCAUGUUCACUUCACUAGGAAUGUUCCUGACUUUCUCCCACAAGUUUCCUUCCAACAACUGAAGAACAGCCCUCUUAGGCAGGCCCCCUUUACCUUCUGUGAGCCUGGCCUGCGUCUGCUGUCUGGCCCGUAACCUGUGUUCCACCACUGAGAGUCCAUGACUGUUGAAUCCGUAUCUGUAGCACAGAAGAGCGUUAGGGAGGAGAUAAGGUUAGAGCCCUCAGGCAGAAAGCAAAGA
Molecule: long non-coding RNA, 6015 nt
Organism: Lagenorhynchus albirostris (white-beaked dolphin)
Lineage: Eukaryota; Metazoa; Chordata; Mammalia; Artiodactyla; Delphinidae
Exons: 3
Source: RefSeq, a predicted model, not a curated record